UUGGAGCGUUCACUUCGGACAGUUCUUUAACAGUAUAUAUUGUCUUCGCUUUAGCUACUAAACGCAUAAGCCAAACUGAACGCUUUUUCCCAUAUUGAUUCGCUCGAUCGUUCGAACUUCGCAGCCAAGUUAAAGGAAGGGUACAUGUGUUGUAUAUGAUUCAGACAAACUUGACCAGAUGUAAGAAAUCACAUCUUCUACGUAUGUAAAAACAAGCUUUGUCAGCCGGGCGGUUACUGUGCGGAUUCAUUGUCAAGAAUCUUAGUGACUCAGCAGCGGCGAGGGCCUAAGGGAUUUAGUAAACGCAUUAACACAUUCAUUUGUUCCACCUUCGUAACUAGCACCUGCAAUCAAAACUGACACCACCAAUUUGGAUAGCAAUGAAUGAUCACUACAGCUUUUCUGUACAAUAUACUAAAUAGUUAAACUUCACCCACAGCCGAGGGUAUUAUUUAUUUACAGAGGCAACUUUUUAAUUUAUAAAAAAGGACAUGGCGGAUUUUUCACAAAUUAUUUUCCAGGGCUAGUCAGCGUCAGCGUUUUAAUGUACAUUUAUUUUCCGGCCAUUAAACAGUGUACUUUAACAAUAAAUUUAGCUUUGUUAUCUGCAGACAAUUAAAAAUUUUUGUCCACCUAAAUUAGGUGGUGAUGUGAGCGUCUUGAAAGUGCAAGAGACAACGCUACCACCACUAUCGCCGCGUUGACGUGUGAUUACAGCGUCCCUUCGCUCCGCUGGUGGCACUGGCCUCUGCUCGGGCAGCCUUUCCUGCCGCGCCGCUGCUGCCGAGUUAUUGUUGCGGUGCAUGAAGUUCCGAAUAUUUUCCUCAGUGUAGUCCACAAUUCGGCGCUUCUUGCGGCGGCCGUACUGUUUCUGCUUCAAAUAAAUUUUCAGAAUUCCCUUGACCGUUAUAAAGGUCAGACCUCCAAGCAGAGUACGAUGCAAUGUGUUAUCAACCGUGUCAAAGAGAAUACGUCCCACGAUCGACGAUAUGGUGGGCAGCAAGAGAGCGCCGCAGAAGACCCUCGUGGCUGAGACAGGGUCAGAGAGAGCCGGUGUGGCCGGAUUGCUGAUGCUUUGCUGUUCCUCUUCCUGGCUGCUGCUUAAAUGUAAAGUAAUAAAAGUCUGCUAACCCUGACAUUGUUGAUGCACUUACAGGUUCGGAUAAAUAAGGCUUACAAAAGGAAACUUCCGCACCACCGUCCCGCGGUUUCGAAUAAGACGCAACAAUGCAUCCUCCCAGCGAAUCAAUCGACCAAGCACAAGCCCCACUGGAAUAGCCGGCAACCCAAUAAGGAGAACGAGCGGAUCUCCAGACUCCAUUAUGGACAUGCCGUGCUCAUGUCCGACAAUCUACAGACAAUUAAUUCUCUUAGCAUGACAACUGAUUAAAAAUGAUAGGUUGUACCUGU
Molecule: long non-coding RNA, 1410 nt
Filed under: Drosophila melanogaster (fruit fly)
Lineage: Eukaryota; Metazoa; Arthropoda; Insecta; Diptera; Drosophilidae
Description: antisense RNA:CR45999 (Dmel_CR45999)
Source: RNAcentral